GAAUAUAGAGCUCAGUGGUAGAGUGCUUGCUUAGCAUGCAUGAGGUCCUGAGUUCAAUCCCCAGUGCCUCCA
Molecule: transfer RNA, 72 nt
Filed under: Camelus bactrianus (Bactrian camel)
Lineage: Eukaryota; Metazoa; Chordata; Mammalia; Artiodactyla; Camelidae
Also listed under: 2 other names
Rfam family: tRNA
About the family: Transfer RNA (tRNA) molecules are approximately 80 nucleotides in length. Their secondary structure includes four short double-helical elements and three loops (D, anti-codon, and T loops).
Source: Rfam by way of RNAcentral